This 1400-nucleotide ribosomal RNA is filed under the name Citrobacter sp. VH-9. RNAcentral's name for it is "bacterial SSU rRNA". It matches the Rfam family "Bacterial small subunit ribosomal RNA". The record is from RNAcentral. Lineage: Bacteria; Pseudomonadati; Pseudomonadota; Gammaproteobacteria; Enterobacterales; Enterobacteriaceae.
GGUAACAGGAAGCAGCUUGCUGCUUUGCUGACGAGUGGCGGACGGGUGAGUAAUGUCUGGGAAACUGCCCGAUGGAGGGGGAUAACUACUGGAAACGGUAGCUAAUACCGCAUAAUGUCGCAAGACCAAAGAGGGGGACCUUCGGGCCUCUUGCCAUCGGAUGUGCCCAGAUGGGAUUAGCUAGUAGGUGGGGUAACGGCUCACCUAGGCGACGAUCCCUAGCUGGUCUGAGAGGAUGACCAGCCACACUGGAACUGAGACACGGUCCAGACUCCUACGGGAGGCAGCAGUGGGGAAUAUUGCACAAUGGGCGCAAGCCUGAUGCAGCCAUGCCGCGUGUAUGAAGAAGGCCUUCGGGUUGUAAAGUACUUUCAGCGGGGAGGAAGGCAGUACGGUUAAUAACCGUGCUGAUUGACGUUACCCGCAGAAGAAGCACCGGCUAACUCCGUGCCAGCAGCCGCGGUAAUACGGAGGGUGCAAGCGUUAAUCGGAAUUACUGGGCGUAAAGCGCACGCAGGCGGUCUGUCAAGUCGGAUGUGAAAUCCCCGGGCUCAACCUGGGAACUGCAUUCGAAACUGGCAGGCUUGAGUCUUGUAGAGGGGGGUAGAAUUCCAGGUGUAGCGGUGAAAUGCGUAGAGAUCUGGAGGAAUACCGGUGGCGAAGGCGGCCCCCUGCACAAAGACUGACGCUCAUGUGCGAAAGCGUGGGGAGCAAACAGGAUUAGAUACCCUGGUAGUGCACGCCGUAAACGAUGUCGACUUGGAGGUUGUGCCCUUGAGGCGUGGCUUCCGGAGCUAACGCGUUAAGUCGACCGCCUGGGGAGUACGGCCGCAAGGUUAAAACUCAAAUGAAUUGACGGGGGCCCGCACAAGCGGUGGAGCAUGUGGUUUAAUUCGAUGCAACGCGAAGAACCUUACCUGGUCUUGACAUCCACGGAAUUUGGCAGAGAUGCAUUAGUGCCUUCGGGAACCGUGAGACAGGUGCUGCAUGGCUGUCGUCAGCUCGUGUUGUGAAAUGUUGGGUUAAGUCCCGCAACGAGCGCAACCCUUAUCCUUUGUUGCCAGCGGUCCGGCCGGGAACUCAAAGGAGACUGCCAGUGAUAAACUGGAGGAAGGUGGGGAUGACGUCAAGUCAUCAUGGCCCUUACGACCAGGGCUACACACGUGCUACAAUGGCGCAUACAAAGAGAAGCGACCUCGCGAGAGCAAGCGGACCUCAUAAAGUGCGUCGUAGUCCGGAUUGGAGUCUGCAACUCGACUCCAUGAAGUCGGAAUCGCUAGUAAUCGUGGAUCAGAAUGCCACGGUGAAUACGUUCCCGGGCCUUGUACACACCGCCCGUCACACCAUGGGAGUGGGUUGCAAAAGAAGUAGGUAGCUUAACCUUCGGGAGGGCGCUACCA